This 352-nucleotide unclassified non-coding RNA is filed under the name soil metagenome. RNAcentral describes it as "partial contains 5.8S ribosomal RNA, internal transcribed spacer 2, and large subunit ribosomal RNA". The stretch from base 1 to 120 matches the Rfam family "5.8S ribosomal RNA", at positions 35 to 154 of the family's 154-position model. The record is from RNAcentral.
GAUGAAGAACGCAGUGAAAUGCGAUAAGUAAUGUGAAUUGCAGAGUUCAGUGAAUCAUCGAAUCUUUGAACGCACAUUGCGCCCGCCAGUAUUCUGGCGGGCAUGCCUGUUCGAGCGUCAUUACAACCCUCAGGCCCCCGGGCCUGGCGUUGGGGAUCGGCAGAAGCCCCCUGUGGGCACACGCCGUCCCUCAAAUACAGUGGCGGUCCCGCCGCAGCUUCCAUUGCGUAGUAGCUAACACCUCGCAACUGGAGAGCGGCGCGGCCAUGCCGUAAAACACCCAACUUCUGAAUGUUGACCUCGAAUCAGGUAGGAAUACCCGCUGAACUUAAGCAUAUCAAUAAGCGGAGGA